UACAACCUGAUUUAAGACCCUGGGGAGGGCAGAAUCCAUGAGAGCACGAUGGUUCUCAUUCAAGCCACACGACUGGAAUGCAGUGGGAGCGUUUUCUGUAAGAUUGAGAAGGCAAGAGGAGUGGCGUGCUCACUCCAGAAUAGACUCUGAGAAGGGGUUAGAAACUUUGAGAUGUUGAAUGUCAGUUGUCCAAAUCAAAUUCAGACAAAAUUACAACAGCCAAAAGCCAAUAAUGAAGAAAAAUGCUCUUCAGCCAAGUAUGUUCAUCUUAGGAUCAAGUUCAAAUAAGAGGGCAGAGACUGACCCAUAUGCCCCCUUGACUGAAGAAGUAGAAAGUGUUUCUAUACACAAGAACUGAGAAAUGCCUAUACUACAGCUGAGUUAAAGAAUGAAUACUGAAGCAUCUGAAAAUGGAUUUUAAAUGGUAAAGUAAAUAAAGAACAGUACAUUGCCUAUUACUCCAGUCCACAUUGGUUUCUCCCUUCCGUGUCCUCUGUAAUAUUUUAAUCUGUCCCACUAUAUCAAUACUGAUUGUCUGCUCUAUUGUAUUUAUGCCAGUUCAAAAGAGAGAAGAGUAUAUAAUCAAAUAAGGUAGUGUUCAUGGUUAUGCUUUGUAAACUACCGAGUACUGUGUUGCGUAUUUCAACUUAUUUCAUCUGUUACUUCCGGUUCUCAGUUUAUGUCAUAAUUACUUUGAAAUUCCUUCUUAUCUAGCACCAUGCUAGACAAAAGGAGGGUCUAUAUUAUUGACUCACUUAAUAGUAAUUAUAAUUUUUGAAAAUGAUUCUCAACCAUUGAAGAGCAUACUGACCCAAGGCCAAUAUUCUUCAAAGAUGACUCCAUUCAGCCAGAUACUGCUUCUGAGACAAACAUUCAAUUUGAAAGGUAAUUCUUUUAUUCCUCAAUGCAUGUUUCUUUUCCCCUUUGAAUAAAUCAGUUAGAUUUUUUCAUUUGAAAAGGAUGAUUAUUUCUACAUUGGUACAUAGGUACCAGAGGUACCAAAAGGCUUUAAUAAAAAGAAAGCAAUUUAAAAAUUGACUCUAAUGAUUAAAAAUGAUCCCUGAACAGUGAUCUCCUUGAAGACAGAGACUCUUGGAUAUUAUUUUUGAAUGUUUUUUAGCACAUAGCAAAUGAUGUUAUAGAGGCUUAAUUAAGGUAUGUGGAAUAAAUGAAUAGAGGUCUGAUAGUAGGGGAGUACUUCUGUGACCAGGAGACCUUGGCUGUAACUAUUGCUACUGGAGGAGAAUUAACAGCAUGAAAGCUAUCUCAGCAUCAGAUAAAAAAUAGUAUGAAAAUGCCAUUUAAUUUAGGACUCAGAUGCCUGGGCUAAUC
Long non-coding RNA from Mustela lutreola (European mink), 1332 nucleotides. RefSeq lists it as uncharacterized. NCBI's taxonomy places the organism in Eukaryota, Metazoa, Chordata, Mammalia, Carnivora, Mustelidae. The transcript is spliced from 4 exons. The record is from RefSeq and is a predicted model, not a curated record.